RNAcentral lists this ribosomal RNA (465 nucleotides) under Vreelandella stevensii. Its description in RNAcentral is "partial 16S ribosomal RNA". It matches the Rfam family "Bacterial small subunit ribosomal RNA", at positions 338 to 795 of the family's 1533-position model. Lineage: Bacteria; Pseudomonadati; Pseudomonadota; Gammaproteobacteria; Oceanospirillales; Halomonadaceae. The record is from RNAcentral.
CCUACGGGGGGCUGCAGUGGGGAAUAUUGGACAAUGGGCGAAAGCCUGAUCCAGCCAUGCCGCGUGUGUGAAGAAGGCCUUCGGGUUGUAAAGCACUUUCAGUGGGGAAGAAAGCCUUGGGGCUAAUACCCUCGAGGAAGGACAUCACCCACAGAAGAAGCACCGGCUAACUCCGUGCCAGCAGCCGCGGUAAUACGGAGGGUGCGAGCGUUAAUCGGAAUUACUGGGCAUAAAGCGCGCGUAGGCGGUCUGAUAAGCCGGUUGUGAAAGCCCCGGGCUCAACCUGGGAACGGCAUCCGGAACUGUCAGGCUAGAGUGCAGGAGAGGAAGGUAGAAUUCCCGGUGUAGCGGUGAAAUGCGUAGAGAUCGGGAGGAAUACCAGUGGCGAAGGCGGCCUUCUGGACUGACACUGACGCUGAGGUGCGAAAGCGUGGGUAGCAAACAGGAUUAGAUACCCGAGUAGUC